UCGGUUCCACUCGAGCUCCCAGAAUCAUCAUCAUUAGAAGAUAGCAACACUUUGGCUUUGACCUCGAGUACUUUCACAUUCUCGAUCAACGACUGGAUCAAAGCCAUGAGCAUGAAUAUCCUCGAGAAUAUCUCUUCGAGACUGAUACAUGGCAUGCUCAACUCCCCAAUAUGAUUGAGUCUAGGCGGCGUCAGCCACUUCUUUUGCUCGAACUUGAGCAACUUCAGCAUCAGCCCGAUAGACAACCACUAUUGCCUUCGCUUGAGCCUUUACCUUUUCUACUUCAGACGUGGCCUUUGGAUGUUCGGCAGCCAAUCGAUCCUCAAGCUCUUCAAUUUUCUUGGCUCGGGCCUAGCUUUUUUCCUUCAUGCUUUGGAUUUGGCGUUCGGCCUAUGACAGUUGGGCUUGGGCAGUAUCUUUCUCCGAGGCAAGGUG
Molecule: long non-coding RNA, 435 nt
Filed under: Nicotiana benthamiana
Lineage: Eukaryota; Viridiplantae; Streptophyta; Magnoliopsida; Solanales; Solanaceae
Description: long non-coding RNA (NBEN_LNC028261)
Source: RNAcentral